This 343-nucleotide ribosomal RNA is filed under the name uncultured Lentisphaerota bacterium. RNAcentral's name for it is "bacterial SSU rRNA". It matches the Rfam family "Bacterial small subunit ribosomal RNA", at positions 29 to 351 of the family's 1533-position model. The record is from RNAcentral. Lineage: Bacteria; Pseudomonadati; Lentisphaerota.
AACGAACGCUGGCAGCGUGGAUUAGGCAUGCAAGUCGAACGGGAUCCGGGGCUAUAGCAAUAUAAUCCCGGUGAUAGUGGCGGAAGGGUGAGUAACGCGUGGGUAAGCUACCUUGAAGUUGGGGACAACCAGAUGAAAAUCUGGCUAAUACCGAAUGUGGUCUUCUGGCGCAUGUCAGGAUGACUGAAGGCGGGGAUCUUCGGACCUGUCGCUUUGAGAGGCGCCCGCGUGCCAUCAGCUAGUUGGUAGGGUAACGGCCUACCAAGGCUUACGGCUAGCCGGACUGAGAGGUUGACCGGCCACACUGGGACUGAGACACUGCCCAGACUCCUACGGGAGGCUG